UUGUAUAUAGAAGAACUAUAGUACAAAUCCUUGGUAUUUCUAUUUUCUUUGCUACAUCAGUAAAAUGACCCCUUGUCUGAGGGAGGGUUGUUCUCAACCUGAUAAUAACAAACACAGGUCAAAGUACGGCCUUUUACACAGGGCUUUGAUACAGACCAAACAGCAAGCUAUAAAGGACCCCAAAAUUAUAAGCGUACACAAUUCGAACAGGAAAACAAACGAUCUAAUUUAUAUAUCCAAACGGGAAAAUACCAAUGAACAACAUCAACAAACGAUAACUGCUGAACGACAGGCCCC
This 297-nucleotide long non-coding RNA is filed under the name Mytilus galloprovincialis (Mediterranean mussel). The record is from RNAcentral. Lineage: Eukaryota; Metazoa; Mollusca; Bivalvia; Mytilida; Mytilidae.